This 419-nucleotide ribosomal RNA is filed under the name bacterium. Its description in RNAcentral is "partial 16S ribosomal RNA". It matches the Rfam family "Bacterial small subunit ribosomal RNA", at positions 355 to 776 of the family's 1533-position model. The record is from RNAcentral.
UGGGGGAUAUUGCACAAUGGGCGAAAGCCUGAUGCAGCGACGCCGCGUGGGGGAUGAAGGCCUUCGGGUUGUAAACUUCUUUUGCUCUGAACAAGGCAUGCUAAUGGGUGUGUUGAGUGUAGGGGUUGAUUAGCGCCGGCUAACUACGUGCCAGCAGCCGCGGUAAUACGUAGGGCGCGAGCGUUGUCCGGAAUUAUUGGGCGUAAAGUGCUUGUAGGUGGCUGGUUGCGUCUGUCGUGAAAGCUAAUGGCUUAACUGUGGGUUUGCGGUGGGUACGGGCUGGCUUGAGUGCAGUAGGGGAGGCUGGAAUUCCUGGUGUAGCGGUGGAAUGCGCAGAUAUCAGGAGGAAUACCGGUGGCGAAGGCGGGUCUCUGGGCUGUUACUGACACUGAGGAGCGAAAGCAUGGGGAGCGAACAGG